ACCAGCCUUCCUGGGGGAACCAGAGGCCCAGAGGGGCUGGGGGGUACCCACCUUUAAAAUCAAAGAAGAAGGAGAGGCGGUUGGCCAUCAUGGCGCGCUGGCAGCCCACCAUGCUGUAGCCCAAGAGGGUCUCGGGGUCUCGGCUGAGGGCCUCUGAGGCCUCAGAGCCACUCACGCCCACCCAGACACCGGUGCGUGUCCCUCGGAGUGACGCUGGGUUGAUGCCUGCAGGAAGCGACGGUAAGACCUCGCGGCCUCUCCAGCCUGGGUCUGGGCGACCCCUUCCCCGCUUCACUCUGGAGGGGCCCCAGCAGGGCAGCCAGCCCAGGUAGGGCUGAGGACAGAUAACUGGGUCACAAGGAACCCGGGGCCCAGGGGACGGUAGGGCGCCAGGCUGAGAGACCAGAGAAAGCCGAGGUGAGGACAGAAGGCAGCAUUGUCCCCAGAAUACUCCCCUGGCCCCUGGUGUCACCAGUAGGGUCUGGCAAGCCCCAAUGACCAAUGAGCACCCAAGCACCAAGGGCAGCCUACCCUAGGACAGGCCAAGAUAAGGAAACAGAGGGAGACAAAGGCUGAGUGUCCAGGCUGGGAAAGGAGGGGGGGACCCUGGCCAGGACCCGGGGAGUGGCAUCCAAGGUCUCCGGGUGAGGACUGGGCAGUGGGAAGGCCUCUGCUCGCCCUUCACCCCGGGGUGCUGUGUGCCUGCAACACUGUCCAUUUCAGUGUGGGCGGGGGCUAGCCGUGUGGAGCCCCUGCUGGAGGGCGAGCUGCAGGGUCAGGACUGCUAGCCAAGGUGGGAGCGGGUGGCCCCAGGGGCCCCUUCAGAGCCAGGCUCCUGCCACCCACCUGCUGAAACACCACACCCACACGGUCGGCCUCCUUUCCCUGCCAGCUAGGACUUCCGUGCCCCUGCGGCAGUAGGGACAGGUCUGUGCCCCGGGACGAGGGACAGCCGUCUUGAGGCACUUGUCCAAGGCCACACACAACCCAGACGGGGGAGAGUGGACAGCACGAGUCCCGGGGGCUGGACCCCAUCUCCUGCUCUGCCUGGCACGCCACCCUCGCCCCAAGAGCAGCUGUCCACUGGGGAGGGCAGAACCUGGGCGUCCGGGCACACCAGGGCCACCUGCAUGUAUGUUGUGAAACCUCGACCUGCUCGCAGGCCCACGCCCCCCCAAGCUCCUGGGCCUGGACCAGCGCCCCGGGGAGCCGCAGCGCCUUGCGCUUCCUGUGGCUCCAGGCUCUGACUCGGGACGUGAGCUGCUUUUAGCAGUGAGAAUUGGCGCUCUCCCGACUUCCAGGCAGGGGGACCCUCAGGGAUGGGACCCCCCGCCGGCCAGCAGCUUCACAAAGACUCACCUCCGUCCAAGAUGGCCUCGUACGCGACCUCUAGCAGCAGGCGCAGCUGCGGGUCCAUCGUGUGGGCCUGCUUGGGGUGGACCCCGAAGAAGGAGGCGUCGAACCGGGACAGGUCCUUCAGUUUGCCGGACCUCCUGGGCAGGCCGUAAAGCCCUGCAGACACAGGCAGGGCCAGGCCGGGGGCCCCGAGUGACCCACGGCCAAGUCCCUGUGGCGGUGGGCGAGUGCUGCGGGGCCCAGGGUGCCUCUGGGACAGCAGCCCCCCUUCCCCCGCCGGGUGGCCGCGUGGGAGGCGGCCUUGGAACACAGCACGCUGGGGACCUCCUCCUCCACCGCCCACCUCUGUCCUGGCCCCGGACCCCGGGCUGACGCUGCCUGGCUGCCGAGGCCGGGCCAGGCCCCACCGGCUGACUCACACCCCGUAGAUCAGGUUGUCUGUCUUGGGCACGGGACAGCCACCCGAGUCACCAGGACGGCUGCCGAUCUCAGGCUUCUGCGUGAGGUUCCCUCCUCAUUGGUCCACCGUGACCCCCCCACGCUGGUCCGGCUGAGGGACCUCCACUGGGAGCCGGCCAAAACCAGUACCUGAUGGAAUCAGAUCCAACUGGGGACCGUGUCUGAGGGAAGUUGGCGGUAAGGACGCACGAGUUGGACUGUUGCUCACACCACGGCGGAUUGGUCUUCACUGGCUUCUGUCAAUGUCCUCUGCUGCCUACGGUACAAAGUUGGGCACUUUGCUGUAAGACUUGUCUGGUGUUCUCCAGGGGUUAAAAAUGGAGGGUCCCAAGGGGCCCUGAAGGCAGGCACACUGGGGUCCAUACACCGCAGCGUCACCUAGAAUGUGGUGGGCAGCGCGGGGCAGGCAGGCUGCCCUCCUACAGGGGCCGUUACGGGCCGUGAUCAUGGCGGUUGCAUCCAAGGGACGCCACCGGGAGUUGGGGAGAUUUUUUUUGGUAACGGCCCUUGUCUCUUCAGUCCCCAAACACUCCCUUGUGGUGCUUUUUCAACCCAAGGGAAACCAUUCAGAUUACAGAACGUAAGAAAGGUCCUGCCCGGGCUCAGUAGGAUCUAUCAGCUAGAUCUCUCCUGCAGGAAACAGGGCAAACAGAUGGCCCUACCGAGGUCCAUCCCAGGCCUUCAGGGCUCUGAAUUGGGACCCGGACCUAAGGGCCUCUAAUAGAACAUGUUUGGUCGUAACUAGACCAGUAAACUCCCUCGUGCUGAUGAUUAUCUAAAUAGGCCUCCUCCGAAAAACCCUGGUUACCUGGGGAACGCAGGCCUUCCUACCCAAGGGGGCUCCACAGGGUCCCUCUGGCUGUGCCGGGGGCAGCUCCCUCACUCCUGUCCCAGGUUAACGGCUGUAACUGGAACCAUGGCCUUGGGUGAGGCUACCUCAGGGCAGGGACUUUAACUAAUCUUCCCAAGCAGCUGCCGAAAGUCCCUUUGGGGGAAAUUCUUCUCUUCUCUGGCCACGGACUGUCUACUCCCCCUUGUUGGCGGGAAAACAUGGUGUGUGCUCCUCCAUCGGGUCUGCUGAGCUCUAGAACCGGGGGCCCUCUCUCCUGCCUUCCGGCCCCCUCCUCCUGCUCUGCGCCAUCCUAGGUGCGGCCUGCACACUGGCUUCUAGACCACCCUUGAUUCUCCUCCCACCCUCCUCUCGAGGAGCCAAGAACACAUCCUGGACUUAACACCACCCACUCCAUGUUUCUCCACCAGUGCCCCAGCCUGAGGAAACUUUGUCUUAGGACAUCAGCGACAUAUGGGAAUAAUAAAGUAUUCCUCUGCCAGCAAACUGAAGCCUUUAACUUUUCUACCUGAACCCUCUGAAAUCCUAAAGGUCCUGGUCAGUGUCCUUUCUUCCGUGGCGACCAUGGUCAUUUGCAUACAUUCAAUAAGAACCUGUUCUUGUAACAGGACACCACUGGAAACAUCGGUUAUUUUACCAAGGUUUGGCGGAGCGUCAUCUUUGAGAGACAGGCGUAGACUCAGAUAUGACUAAGCAGCUUGAAGGAAUGAAGGCUGAUUUUCUGAAACCUGGAGCCGUAAAGCCCCUUGGAGAUGUUGGCCGGAUACCUGGGCCGGAGCUCCCAACGGCCUCACCAGGGAGUAAAGAAUGUCAGUUCCUGGCAGGUGCAGGAGCCUCAGGAUACCCUGGGGACCUUGAGAAGAGGAAUACGCCCAAAUCUACAGGCAUUACAGGCAUGUCUGACAAGUACUGGACUUGGCUUCUGGCCUGGAGAGGCUACCAGAAGUUCAACCUAGAGAUUCCUUAUAAAAAUUUCCAGCAAAGUGGAUUCUGAAAGAUCUAAAUGAUCAAUCUCUGUUCCUCCUGAGCUUAUAUAAAUCAUUAGGUCACGUUUUGUUAAAACUGGACUCGUUUUACAAAUGACUAGGUCCCGAUUUGGCUACCUCUGUAUACAGGUGAGGGCUACGGUAGAGAGAAAACGUUUCAGUAACACGUCUUUGUAGAUAGAUUCUAAGCAUUGAGACUCAAGAAAACUGGAUUAUUCUUUUACCGAUAAGGGGUUCUUUGGGUGAGAGUUGCCCCAACGCAUUCAACAGAGUUAUUAGUUAUUGUCCCUUUGGAGUUACUAUGUGGCAAACCUUUUCUCCUAUAGACCUAUCAAUCGACGGAGACUAUAAUGCUCUAUUAAAUUAUUUACUCAAGGCCAGGUUAAUUCAUAAAUCUCUAAAUGAAUAUGCAAACCAUAUCCUCCGGAAACCUGACUUGACAGACACUAGCAACCCACCCCAUAUAAACCCCACAGACAUGAUUUAUUUUUAUUUAUUUAUUUUUUUAAUUUUUAUUUAUUUAUGAUAGUCACAGAGAGAGAGAGAGGCGCAGAGACACAGGCAGAGGGAGAAGCAGGCUCCAUGCACCGGGAGCCCGAUGUGGGAUUCGAUCCCGGGUCUCCAGGAUCGCGCCCUGGGCCAAAGGCAGGCGCCAAACCGCUGCGCCACCCAGGGAUCCCCACAGACAUGAUUUAAAGGAUUGGGAGUUGGGUGCCUGGUGGCUCUGUGGAUGAAGUGUCUGCCUUCACCUCAGGUCAUGAUCCCGGGGUCGUCCUGGGACCGAGUCCCACAUCGGGCUCCUUGCUCAGGGGGGAGUCUGCUUCUCCCUC
Long non-coding RNA from Canis lupus familiaris (dog), 4481 nucleotides. RefSeq lists it as uncharacterized. Lineage: Eukaryota; Metazoa; Chordata; Mammalia; Carnivora; Canidae. The record is from RefSeq and is a predicted model, not a curated record. The transcript is spliced from 3 exons.